CUACGGGAGGCUGCAGUGGGGAAUAUUGGGCAAUGGGCGCAAGCCUGACCCAGCAACGCCGCGUGAGGGAAGAAUGUCUUCGGAUUGUAAACCUCUGUCCCAUGGGACGAACAAAUGACGGUACCAUGGGAGGAAGCUCCGGCUAACUACGUGCCAGCAGCCGCGGUAAUACGUAGGGAGCGAGCGUUGUCCGGAAUUACUGGGCGUAAAGGGUGCGUAGGCGGCAUAAUAAGUCAGAUGUGAAAUACCCGGGCUCAACUCGGGGGGUGCAUUUGAAACUAUUAAGCUUGAGUACAGGAGAGGAAAGCGGAAUUCCUAGUGUAGCGGUGAAAUGCGUAGAUAUUAGGAGGAACACCAGUGGCGAAGGCGGCUUUCUGGACUGUCACUGACGCUGAGGCACGAAAGCGUGGGGAGCAAACAGGAUUAGAUACCCUAGUAGUC
RNAcentral lists this ribosomal RNA (441 nucleotides) under uncultured bacterium. RNAcentral's name for it is "partial 16S ribosomal RNA". It matches the Rfam family "Bacterial small subunit ribosomal RNA", at positions 339 to 795 of the family's 1533-position model. The record is from RNAcentral.